RNAcentral lists this ribosomal RNA (494 nucleotides) under uncultured bacterium. RNAcentral's name for it is "partial 16S ribosomal RNA". It matches the Rfam family "Bacterial small subunit ribosomal RNA", at positions 30 to 507 of the family's 1533-position model. The record is from RNAcentral.
AUUGAACGCUGGCGGCAUGCUUUACACAUGCAAGUCGAACGGCAGCGGGGAGGAGCUAGCUUCUCUGCCGGCGAGUGGCGAACGGGUGAGUAAUACAUCGGAACGUGUCGAGAAGAGGGGGAUAACCACCCGAAAGGGUGGCUAAUACCGCAUAAAUUCUGAGGAAGAAAGCUGGGGACCUAGGAAUAGGCCUAGCGCUUUUUGAGCGGCCGAUGUCGGAUUAGCUAGUUGGUGAGGUAAAGGCUCACCAAGGCGAAGAUCUGUAGCGGGUCUGAGAGGAUGAUCCGCCACACUGGGACUGAGACACGGCCCAGACUCCUACGGGAGGCAGCAGUGGGGAAUUUUGGACAAUGGGGGCAACCCUGAUCCAGCCAUGCCGCGUGUAUGAAGAAGGCCUUAGGGUUGUAAAGUACUUUUGUUAGGGAAGAAAAGUCAGCUGUGAAUAAUGGCUGAUACUGACGGUACCUAAAGAAUAAGCACCGGCUAACUACGUG